CCACCUGCCUGGGCAGCCUAUGGCCUCGCCUCCAGCAUCCAGACGCUGAGUCCUCCAGGGAGGGGCUGGGCUGGGCCAGGUUGGGAGAGGGAAUCACCAGUCCACCUGUCAGGCCUAGCAGCUUUGGGCCAGCUUCCAACCAGCUGUCUUAAAUGGGGAAACAUGAAACUGGAGGAAUGCUUGUCGACAUGAGGUGGCCUAGGCUUAAGAUGAUCCUACAGAAGGUAGAGAAGUGAG
Microcebus murinus (gray mouse lemur) is the source of this 237-nucleotide non-coding RNA. Lineage: Eukaryota; Metazoa; Chordata; Mammalia; Primates; Cheirogaleidae. The record is from RefSeq and is a predicted model, not a curated record.